CGGGCAGGGAAGUGUGGGUGUGGCUGAGACACUGCUGGAAGCCGUGGAGAGAAUCGCCAAGUCCGUGGAGGCUUGUUUCUGUGAAGGCUAUCAUGUUUUCUUCAAAACCAUGACAUCACUGCAAAGCCACGACACCACUGGAAAGGCCUCAAUUAUUUCUUAUUCUGAGAAUUUUCUCCUUUGGACAGAAAGAAUCCAAGUAAAUACAAGAAAUUAAAUUUAGCCUGUUUCUACACACCUGCAGCAUCCCACAGGCUCCAGACCAAAGAGCUGCCAGUGAGGCUGGGUGAAGAGGGCAGCUGGGUGAGACACCUCUGGAGGGACUGAUGGUCCUUUUGACGGUUCACCACCGCUGAGGAGGACACAGUGAGAGGAAUGCAGUAUAUACAUCAGGUUCCCUCACCCUCUGUGAAGUGUCUGUGCGUCAGCGGCGUCACCUGGAAACCGGGGACAACAAAGUUACCUACCUCCCAGGGUGGUCAGGCUCCUUUGAGGCUGACCCCUAAAACAGGACCAGACACCAUCAGCACAGAGCGUGCACCUGGUGCGGUAAUUACCACCACUAGGUCUUCCCUGAGAGUACUUUUCCCUGGCCUGCCUGACUUCCACCAUAUAUUUCCAGCUCAUGCCUGCUUGCACUUUUUAAUAUUUCAUGUGUGGUUGCGUGGCCUUCUUGCCUUUUGUUGCCUUUUAACCCAUCACGCUCGUAAGUUCUUUGAAGCAGUGCUCCAAAGACAUCCACCACCUUCUAAUACCACAGACCUCGAGGCCUGGACUAUAUUGGUUGAAGUGAACGGGUCAAGAAUGAGAAAAGACAAGAGUACGUGUAAAAAUAGAAAAAGUAUUCAAACAUAUAUGCACGUAGGUUCCAAAGACAGAUGACUGAAGUAAACAAAUUCACUGAAACUGUUCUAGAUAAAGAGAAAAACACUAAUGACUUCUUAGUGUUUCCAUCCAGUUUUGAAUGAGGGACUUUCCACAUGUUAAGUGAAUGGGAUAACCACUACACUACAGAAACAGAUAAUUGUGUGGUUGCUUCAUGAGUCUAAUAAGACUUAUAGUCAUGGACACUGCCAGGGUCUCUACCCAACCGGGGAGGCAGAGCUCUUAGAACCAUUCCUCGUGGCCCCCGGUAAUAUUGUCUAACUGCCCAGCUCCACUGAUUAGUAGAUCCGGAAACCGGUCACAUUCAGCAACUCAAAACAAAACAGGGAAUGAAAGAAAGCAGGCUUCGCAGCAAGGAAGGUAAAUGCAGCUUUGGAGGUUUGAGACUAGAUAAUUCUCUCCCUUUUGUCUCUUUCCUCUAGCAAAACAGCUUGAGGGUUUAAGUUUUCACCCAUUUUGAGCUGGAUUGACACUAACGAUCUAAAGGAUUAAGGAAAUGGUAAACACAUUCAAAGAAUAUGAGCUUUGAAUAUAUUUCAUCAAAAUGUAGAUAUAAAUUAGCCAAAAAUAAAAUUAGUUUUACAUAUGCUUCAGAAAUGAUUGUUUCUUCUAAAUUAGGUGGAAUUAUCUAUUAAA
This is a long non-coding RNA of Neogale vison (American mink), 1521 nucleotides long. RefSeq lists it as uncharacterized. Lineage: Eukaryota; Metazoa; Chordata; Mammalia; Carnivora; Mustelidae. The transcript has 4 exons. The record is from RefSeq and is a predicted model, not a curated record.